Otolemur garnettii (small-eared galago) is the source of this 284-nucleotide non-coding RNA. The record is from Rfam. Lineage: Eukaryota; Metazoa; Chordata; Mammalia; Primates; Galagidae.
GUCAGGCAUUGUGGCAGGCACCUAUAGUCCCAGCUACUUGGGAAACUGAGGUAGGAGGAUCGUUUGCAUCUAAGAGACUGAGGCUAUAUAGUGUGCUAUUAUGAUCAAGUGUCUGAAGUACGGUGUCAUCAAUACGGUGACCUCUCAGGUCUAGGGACCACCAGGUUACCUAAGGAGGGGUGAACCAGACGGGGUUGGAAAUGGAGCCGGUGAAAACUCCCAUGCUGGUCUAUAGAGCACUGGCUGCACUCCAGCCUGGGCAACAUCGUAAGACCCUAUCUCUA